RNAcentral lists this ribosomal RNA (643 nucleotides) under Listeria monocytogenes. RNAcentral's name for it is "bacterial SSU rRNA". It matches the Rfam family "Bacterial small subunit ribosomal RNA", at positions 897 to 1533 of the family's 1533-position model. Lineage: Bacteria; Bacillati; Bacillota; Bacilli; Caryophanales; Listeriaceae. The record is from RNAcentral.
AAACUCAAAGGAAUUGACGGGGGCCCGCACAAGCGGUGGAGCAUGUGGUUUAAUUCGAAGCAACGCGAAGAACCUUACCAGGUCUUGACAUCCUUUGACCACUCUGGAGACAGAGCUUUCCCUUCGGGGACAAAGUGACAGGUGGUGCAUGGUUGUCGUCAGCUCGUGUCGUGAGAUGUUGGGUUAAGUCCCGCAACGAGCGCAACCCUUGAUUUUAGUUGCCAGCAUUUAGUUGGGCACUCUAAAGUGACUGCCGGUGCAAGCCGGAGGAAGGUGGGGAUGACGUCAAAUCAUCAUGCCCCUUAUGACCUGGGCUACACACGUGCUACAAUGGAUAGUACAAAGGGUCGCGAAGCCGCGAGGUGGAGCUAAUCCCAUAAAACUAUUCUCAGUUCGGAUUGUAGGCUGCAACUCGCCUACAUGAAGCCGGAAUCGCUAGUAAUCGUGGAUCAGCAUGCCACGGUGAAUACGUUCCCGGGCCUUGUACACACCGCCCGUCACACCACGAGAGUUUGUAACACCCGAAGUCGGUAGGGUAACCUUUAUGGAGCCAGCCGCCGAAGGUGGGACAGAUAAUUGGGGUGAAGUCGUAACAAGGUAGCCGUAUCGGAAGGUGCGGCUGGAUCACCUCCUUUCUAAGGAA